This is an RNA transcript of Mus musculus (house mouse), 2844 nucleotides long. It is a transcript of the gene named sodium channel, nonvoltage-gated 1 beta, with no coding region annotated. The record is from RefSeq and is marked validated. NCBI's taxonomy places the organism in Eukaryota, Metazoa, Chordata, Mammalia, Rodentia, Muridae. The transcript has 13 exons.
CUACAGCGUCCCGGGCUCUACAGGUGACCCAGCUCCACAGCCACUCGGACGCCACCACCUUAGCUGCCAUCACCUCACACUGGAGCAGCUUCCUAAACAGGUGCCACCAUGCCAGUGAAGAAGUACCUCCUGAAGUGCCUGCACCGGCUGCAGAAGGGCCCAGGCUACACCUACAAGGAGCUGCUAGUGUGGUACUGCAAUAACACCAACACCCACGGCCCCAAACGCAUCAUCUGUGAGGGGCCCAAGAAGAAGGCCAUGUGGUUCCUGCUUACGCUGCUCUUCGCCUGCCUGGUGUGCUGGCAGUGGGGAGUCUUCAUCCAGACCUACCUGAGCUGGGAGGUCAGCGUCUCGCUCUCCAUGGGCUUCAAGACGAUGAACUUCCCGGCGGUCACCGUCUGCAAUUCCAGCCCCUUCCAGUACUCCAAGGUCAAGCACUUGCUCAAGGACUUGGAUGAGCUAAUGGAGGCAGUCCUGGAAAAGAUUCUGGCUCCAGAGGCCAGCCACAGCAACACCACCAGGACCCUGAACUUUACCAUCUGGAACCACACACCCCUGGUCCUUAUUGAUGAGCGGAACCCUGACCACCCGGUGGUUCUCAAUUUGUUUGGGGACAGCCACAACAGCAGCAACCCGGCUCCAGGAAGCACCUGCAAUGCCCAGGGAUGCAAAGUGGCCAUGAGGCUGUGCAGUGCCAAUGGAACUGUGUGUACCUUGCGGAACUUCACCAGUGCCACCCAGGCCGUAACUGAGUGGUACAUCCUGCAGGCCACCAACAUCUUCUCACAAGUGCUUCCUCAGGACCUGGUGGGGAUGGGCUAUGCCCCUGAUCGCAUAAUCCUAGCUUGCCUGUUUGGAACAGAGCCCUGCAGUCAUCGGAACUUCACGCCUAUCUUCUACCCUGAUUAUGGCAACUGCUACAUCUUCAACUGGGGCAUGACAGAGGAGACACUUCCUUCUGCCAACCCUGGGACUGAAUUUGGUCUCAAGUUGAUCCUGGACAUCGGUCAGGAGGACUAUGUCCCCUUCCUUGCGUCCACAGCAGGGGCUAGGCUGAUGCUUCAUGAGCAGAGGACGUACCCCUUCAUUAGAGAGGAGGGCAUCUAUGCCAUGGCAGGAACUGAGACGUCUAUUGGGGUGCUGGUGGACAAGCUGCAACGCAAGGGGGAGCCCUACAGUCCCUGCACCAUGAACGGCUCCGAUGUUGCCAUAAAGAACCUCUACAGUGUCUACAACACCACCUAUUCCAUCCAGGCCUGUCUUCAUUCCUGUUUCCAAGACCACAUGAUCCGUAACUGCAGUUGUGGCCACUACUUAUACCCACUGCCUGAAGGAGAGAAAUACUGCAACAACAGGGACUUCCCAGACUGGGCCUAUUGCUAUCUAAACCUGCAGAUGAGUGUGACCCAGAGAGAGACCUGCCUCAGCAUGUGCAAGGAGUCCUGCAAUGACACCCAGUAUAAGAUGACCAUCUCCAUGGCUGACUGGCCAUCUGAGGCCUCUGAGGAUUGGAUCUUACAUGUCCUGUCUCAGGAGCGGGACCAGAGCUCGAAUAUCACCCUGAGCAGGCCUGGUUUAAAUCUCCCCACUGCUGAGAACAGCUCAGACUGGAGGUGAGCAGGGUGCCAUGGAGUGCCUUUCCCACGGGGUGCAUGCAUGCACCCAUCCUGGGAGGGACGACAGACCGUGGUCCCAGCAUGCCUUGCUGCCUCCUGCAGGAAGGGUAUUGUCAAGCUCAAUAUCUACUUCCAAGAGUUCAACUACCGUACCAUUGAGGAAUCUCCAGCCAACAAUAUUGUGUGGCUGCUCUCUAACCUGGGGGGCCAGUUUGGCUUCUGGAUGGGGGGCUCGGUGCUGUGCCUCAUUGAGUUUGGGGAGAUCAUUAUCGACUUCAUUUGGAUCACCAUCAUCAAGCUGGUGGCCUCCUGCAAAGGCCUGCGCAGGAGGCGGCCACAGGCACCCUACACUGGCCCACCGCCCACUGUGGCUGAGCUGGUAGAGGCCCACACCAACUUUGGCUUCCAGCCUGACACAACCAGCUGCAGGCCCCACGGCGAGGUCUACCCUGACCAACAGACUCUGCCCAUCCCGGGGACUCCACCCCCCAACUAUGACUCCCUGAGGCUGCAGCCGCUGGACACCAUGGAGUCGGACAGUGAGGUGGAGGCCAUCUAGAUCCCCACCCCCACCCAGCAACUAGUGAACUCAAAACUGAAGAGUUACAACCAUUGUCAGUGCCUCGUUUCAUUAGGCCUUGUACAAAGAGCCGGGGGCACCGUUGCCCAAGCCAGAGCCCAUGUCUGGUCAGCCCCAGGCUGCAGGGUUCUUAGGGUCAGAUGCUGGUUCCAGAAUACGGAACUUGUAUCCUUUUCUGGCUCUUGCGUACCCUACCCAGUAUUUGCUCUCUGUUGAUCUAGCACACAGGCUCCAGAGAUGGCUAGAGUCCCUCUCCUGGUUGAUAGGCCACUUUCCUGUCUGUUACCACCUCAGUCUCCCAGAAUCCUUGCCCUAGUUGGCAUUGGUUGACCUCUGUUAACAGACUUGGGGGGGUGCAGAUCAUAGGGAGAUCAGGUAAGAAGUCUUGAAAGGGGAACACGUGCUUUGUUAGAAAAUAAAGAGAGAAAACACUGGAUGGAGGUUUGUUCUUUAUCCCACUGGGUAGCUGGGGUGCACUGAAGCAAACUGACUUCAGUAAAACCAGGCAUGGGGAUGGAGGGCAGACACCUAUAAUCCCAGGUCGGAAGAUCCAAGUUCAAGACCAGCUUGGACUAUACAGAUUGUCUCAGAAAACCAAACAGCACAAACAAAAACCCCACAAAACAAAUAAAUGUUCUCAAGCACCCC